RNAcentral lists this small nuclear RNA (268 nucleotides) under Choloepus hoffmanni (Hoffmann's two-fingered sloth). Its description in RNAcentral is "7SK RNA (ENSCHOG00000015332.1)". It matches the Rfam family "7SK RNA", at positions 1 to 258 of the family's 331-position model. From Rfam's summary of the family: 7SK was discovered as an abundant small nuclear RNA in the mid-70s but a possible function has only recently been suggested. Two independent studies have found that 7SK RNA binds the CDK9/cyclin T complex (known as elongation factor P-TEFb). Lineage: Eukaryota; Metazoa; Chordata; Mammalia; Pilosa; Megalonychidae. The record is from RNAcentral.
GGAUGUGAGGGUGAUCUGGCUGUGACAUCUGUCACCCCAUUGAUCGCCAGGGUUGAUUUGGCUGAUCUGGCUGGCUAGGCCCUUCCUCCCUCACCUCUCCAUAUGCAUCCCUCCCAAAGCUGCGACCUCGGUCGAAGAGCACGACCUUCCCUGCUAGAGGAGGACCGUUCUUCGGUUAAGGGUAUACGAGUAGCUGUGCUCCCCUGCUAGAACCUCCAAACAAGCUCUCAAAUAUCUCAGAAACCACCUGCCAAAUCCAGUAGUCUCU